AAUGAACGCUGGCGGCAUGCCUAACACAUGCAAGUCGAACGAAGGCUUCGGCCUUAGUGGCGCACGGGUGCGUAACGCGUGGGAAUCUGCCCCUUGGUUCGGAAUAACAGUUAGAAAUGACUGCUAAUACCGGAUGAUGACGUAAGUCCAAAGAUUUAUCGCCGAGGGAUGAGCCCGCGUAGGAUUAGCUAGUUGGUGUGGUAAGAGCGCACCAAGGCGACGAUCCUUAGCUGGUCUGAGAGGAUGAUCAGCCACACUGGGACUGAGACACGGCUCAGACUCCUACGGGAGGCAGCAGUGGGGAAUAUUGGACAAUGGGCGAAAGCCUGAUCCAGCAAUGCCGCGUGAGUGAUGAAGGCCUUAGGAUUGUAAAGCUCUUUUACCCGGGAUGAUAAUGACAGUACCGGGAGAAUAAGCUCCGGCUAACUCCGUG
RNAcentral lists this ribosomal RNA (433 nucleotides) under uncultured bacterium. RNAcentral's name for it is "partial 16S ribosomal RNA". It matches the Rfam family "Bacterial small subunit ribosomal RNA", at positions 29 to 507 of the family's 1533-position model. The record is from RNAcentral.